This 665-nucleotide ribosomal RNA is filed under the name uncultured Bacteroidales bacterium. Its description in RNAcentral is "bacterial SSU rRNA". It matches the Rfam family "Bacterial small subunit ribosomal RNA", at positions 66 to 720 of the family's 1533-position model. The record is from RNAcentral. Lineage: Bacteria; Pseudomonadati; Bacteroidota; Bacteroidia; Bacteroidales.
GGGGCAGCAUGGUCUUAGCUUGCUAAGGCCGAUGGCGACCGGCGCACGGGUGAGUAACACGUAUCCAACCUGCCGUCUACUCUUGGACAGCCUUCUGAAAGGAAGAUUAAUACAAGAUGGCAUCAUGAGUCCGCAUGUUCACAUGAUUAAAGGUAUUCCGGUAGACGAUGGGGAUGCGUUCCAUUAGAUAGUAGGCGGGGUAACGGCCCACCUAGUCUUCGAUGGAUAGGGGUUCUGAGAGGAAGGUCCCCCACAUUGGAACUGAGACACGGACCAAACUCCUACGGAAGGCAGCAGUGAGGAAUAUUGGUCAAUGGCCGAGAGGCUGAACCAGCCAAGUCGCGUGAGGGAUGAAGGUUCUAUGGAUCGUAAACCUCUUUUAUAAGGGAAUAAAGUGCGGGACGUGUCCCGUUUUGUAUGUACCUUAUGAAUAAGGAUCGGCUAACUCCGUGCCAGCAGCCGCGGUAAUACGGAGGAUCCGAGCGUUAUCCGGAUUUAUUGGGUUUAAAGGGAGCGUAGAUGGAUGUUUAAGUCAGUUGUGAAAGUUUGCGGCUCAACCGUAAAAUUGCAGUUGAUACUGGAUAUCUUGAGUGCAGUUGAGGCAGGCGGAAUUCGUGGUGUAGCGGUGAAAUGCUUAGAUAUCACGAAGAACUCCGAUUGCGAAG